Molecule: long non-coding RNA, 350 nt
Organism: Grus americana (Whooping crane)
Lineage: Eukaryota; Metazoa; Chordata; Aves; Gruiformes; Gruidae
Exons: 3
Source: RefSeq, a predicted model, not a curated record
CUGACACGGUAAGAAAGCAAUCACUUGAUUGCAUUUUUGUGUUAAUAAAUACCUUUAAAAGCUCUGGUCUCCGAUUCAUGGGUAAGGCACAGCACCCAUUGUACAGCUUGGGCUGACACUGCACAGCACAGUGGCCCCUGGGCUCAUGGGGUCUCUUCUGACUGUCUGGCUUUGCUGGAGGUGCGGGGAGACUGGACUCCCUAUGUCUUCCAAGGCGAAUGCUGUGGCCCCGGCAGGAGGUGUCCUAUGAGCUUCCCAGAGCAGCUUUGUGAACUGGGCACAGCUGGUCUUGUUCUACAGGCCGGUUCUCACAGUCCUACUGAAGAUGGAGAUACCCCAUAGUCAUCUUC